GUGCAGCCGCCGCGGUAAUACGGAGGGUGCGAGCGUUAAUCGGAAUUACUGGGCGUAAAGCGCAUGCAGGUGGUUCAUUAAGUCAGAUGUGAAUGCCCGGAGCUCAACCUCGGAACUGCAUUUGAAACUGGUGAACUAGAGUACUGUAGAGGGGGGUAGGAUUUCAGGUGUAGCGGUGAAAUGCGUAGAGAUCUGAAGGAAUACCAGUGGCGAAGGCGGCCCCCUGGACAGAUACUGACACUGAGGAGCGAAAGCGUGGGGAGCAAACAGGAUUAGAUA
Molecule: ribosomal RNA, 279 nt
Filed under: uncultured bacterium
Lineage: Bacteria
Description: partial 16S ribosomal RNA
Rfam family: Bacterial small subunit ribosomal RNA
Source: RNAcentral